UAUAUAUAUAUAUAUAUAUAUAUAUAUAUAUAUAUAUGUAAAUGUCCCUCAGCUGGGUGUCAGUGGUGCUUCCAGGCACUGGCGAGGGCUCUGCUGUCAUCAUUUCCUGACCUGUUUUCAAUAGACUGGUUGCUGGAUUCAUUUUACAGCGCUGCAGAGUUCUGGCUUCACAUCAACCAACAAUCACUCCACCACUGUUGACAACUAAUAAGGCUAAGAUGAGCCAGUGGAACAAGAUGUAAACCCACGUCAAUCCUGGACUCAUUUAUGAUGGCACGAAUGUGUUUACUCCUGCAGCUAAAUAUCGGACUUCUGUAAAUAUCGCAACGUGGACCUCAAAAUCCACAGACCUUCUCGGAGUACAGUGCCAAAGGAAAUGUCCCUGUCUGCUGAAACAAAUUACUGAAACGUGACUACGUAUGAAUCACCCUGAUGUGACGCUACCCGGUAAACCGCUCCAGUUAGUCAUUUGUUUGACUGUCUCCUAGGUCUUGCGGCACGAUCAACAAGAACAGGCAGAUUUGGUCUGAAGAUACCUAAAAGUUGGAGGAUCAGCUUACACUUUUCCUAAAAUCUAAACCUUAAAGGAAACAAGGCUGACCUCAAAUCAGCUGGCUUACUAUAUGAACAGUCUGUUUAUUCAUAUCUUCUUGUGUUCUUUUAGCCUGCUGUGCAUUUGUUUAAAGAACCAGUAUCAUGUUCUUUUUGGGUUUCUACAUCCAAAACAGUUUUGAGUGCCACUCUUAUUUUUUUUUUAUUUGCAUGUGACUUACUAUGCCAUUGACCAAUAUAUUAUUAUGUCUGUUUGUUAAUCCUGUGCAUCUGAGUGGCCGAUCUCUUUAUGUUGAAGUGACUUUCAAUCCAAAGUACUGUCAGUAUUUUUCACUAUACUGAAGGUUGACUUGAAGUGACAGUAUGUACAAUAAUGUUGUGUUUCAUUUCAACAGUUUAACAUUGUGUGUUUUGCCCAAACCUUGUGUACAGUUUUUGUACAGUGCAUGUCUGCUCUUAUGAUUGAUGACUGAAUGUUUGGAGUCAUAGUAUUUGCGCUUAACUUCUUCCACAAUCUUUUGCAGUGGUCAACUUGUUUCAGUUGUCUGAAUAAAAUUUGUUUUCACAAGA
This is a long non-coding RNA of Thalassophryne amazonica, 1122 nucleotides long. RefSeq lists it as uncharacterized. The transcript has 2 exons. The record is from RefSeq and is a predicted model, not a curated record. NCBI's taxonomy places the organism in Eukaryota, Metazoa, Chordata, Actinopteri, Batrachoidiformes, Batrachoididae.